This is a non-coding RNA of Cinara cedri, 478 nucleotides long. NCBI's taxonomy places the organism in Eukaryota, Metazoa, Arthropoda, Insecta, Hemiptera, Aphididae. The record is from the annotation of a GenBank genome assembly.
GUUAUUUUCUCCUGGGACACAUUGUAUACAGAAUUCCGUAAAGAAAAUAUACGUCCAUAAACAAAAAAAUCGAUUAAAGCACCUUCUUUCUGGCGCUUGAGUGUAUUUUGGAUUCUGAGCAUAGCGAGGAAUAUAUUGGUUUAACUAUAGUGUUUUUUUUUUUUUUUCUUUCUACAUUUUGUGUCUGUAAACAACUUUUCUCACAGAAAUUCGACUACAAUCAAAAACUUUUAAGGAACUUUCUUUGUAAUGGUGCGCUGGGAGAUCAUUUUUCUUUUUUUUUUAUUUGCGUCGUAGUUUUCUUAAUAAACGGCGAACACUGGAAAGUGUUUGGAUGAUUUUUGUUGAUUUCCGCGUUACCUCGAUAACAAGAGAAUAAAAUAUACGACUCGUGAUACUCUGCUCAAAUUCUGCUUUCAACUUCCUUCCUAAAACCGUGGCCAUAUCCAUUAGCAGUAUCAGCUUUUUUUUCUUUUUU